RNAcentral lists this ribosomal RNA (492 nucleotides) under uncultured bacterium. Its description in RNAcentral is "partial 16S ribosomal RNA". It matches the Rfam family "Bacterial small subunit ribosomal RNA", at positions 29 to 507 of the family's 1533-position model. The record is from RNAcentral.
AGUGAACGCUGGCGGUAGGCCUAACACAUGCAAGUCGAACGACAGCACAGUAAGAGCUUGCUCUUACGGGUGGCGAGUGGCGGACGGGUGAGGAAUACAUCGGAAUCUACUUUUUCGUGGAGGAUAACGUAGGGAAACUUACGCUAAUACAGCAUACGACCUACGGGUGAAAGCAGGGGAUCUUCGGACCUUGCGCGAUUGAAUGAGCCGAUGUCGGAUUAGCUAGUUGGCGGGGUAAAGGCACACCAAGGCGACGAUCCGUAGCUGGUCUGAGAGGAUGAUCAGCCACACUGGAACUGAGACACGGUCCAGACUCCUACGGGAGGCAGCAGUGGGGAAUAUUGGACAAUGGGCGCAAGCCUGAUCCAGCCAUACCGCGUGGGUGAAGAAGGCCUUCGGGUUGUAAAGCCCUUUUGUUGGGAAAGAAAAGCAGCAGGUUAAUACCCCGCUGUUCUGACGGUACCCAAAGAAUAAGCACCGGCUAACUUCGUG